RNAcentral lists this ribosomal RNA (439 nucleotides) under uncultured bacterium. RNAcentral's name for it is "partial 16S ribosomal RNA". It matches the Rfam family "Bacterial small subunit ribosomal RNA", at positions 339 to 795 of the family's 1533-position model. The record is from RNAcentral.
CUACGGGCGGCUCCAGUGGGGAAUAUUGGACAAUGGGCGCAAGCCUGAUCCAGCAAUGCCGCGUGAGUGAAGACGGCCUUAGGGUUGUAAAACUCUUUCGCUAGGGAAGAUAAUGACUGUACCUAGUAAAGAAGUCCCGGCUAACUCCGUGCCAGCAGCCGCGGUAAUACGGAGGGGACUAGCGUUGUUCGGAAUUACUGGGCGUAAAGAGUUCGUAGGCGGACUGACAAGUUAGAGGUGAAAUCCCAGGGCUCAACCCUGGAACUGCCUUUAAAACUGUUAGUCUAGAGACCGGAAGAGGUUAGGGGAAUACCUAGUGUAGAGGUGAAAUUCGUAGAUAUUAGGUGGAACACCAGUGGCGAAGGCGCCUAACUGGUCCGGUACUGACGCUGAGGAACGAAAGCGUGGGGAGCAAACAGGAUUAGAUACCCUGGUAGUC